CUUAUUAAGAGUGGUGGAGGGAAUGGGCCCUGUGAAACCCGGCAACCUGUAUAAUGCAAAGGUGCUAAAUCCCACAGAAUAUAAUUCUGAAAGAUGAGG
RNAcentral lists this non-coding RNA (99 nucleotides) under human gut metagenome. RNAcentral's name for it is "SAM riboswitch (S box leader)". It matches the Rfam family "SAM riboswitch aptamer (S box leader)". Rfam says of the family: The SAM riboswitch is found upstream of a number of genes which code for proteins involved in methionine or cysteine biosynthesis in Gram-positive bacteria. The record is from RNAcentral.